This 1334-nucleotide long non-coding RNA is filed under the name Pavo cristatus (Indian peafowl). RNAcentral describes it as "lncRNA (ENSPSTG00000007818.1)". Lineage: Eukaryota; Metazoa; Chordata; Aves; Galliformes; Phasianidae. The record is from RNAcentral.
GCCCAACCCAGCCUCAAAUCCAAACUGCUGGGUAGCUCUUCCACUGAGUGAGUGCAUGCUUUGCAGAGCAUGGCUCAGGAGAUCACACUUCUAUUUGAAGGACCUGUCACAACUCAACACAAGAAUCAGUGGAAGUGCCAGAAAUGUGAUAUGAGACUUGGAGCAGGCGCUUCACAAUCACAAUUUGCAGAAGCUGCUGAACUGGCUAGAUGCACAAGGUCAGCAUGAUAUCCAUUCUAACUGUGACAAAGGUGGAAGUGCACACCGCCCAAUUUUGAUCUCAAAGUAGUUUCGUUUUUCAGGCUUAAUGCACAAUUAAGAUUGUCGUCUUAUUUUUGAGGCAUUCUGUCACCUCUGCUUCCGCUACCAGGGAAGACUUGUAUUAUUUUUAAGCAAUAAUGUUAAAUGACUUUCUUAUAUUCAGGCAAUUGUAUUAGUUAUUAGGCACCUGAUUAGCGUAAUUAAUUAUAUGAACUCAUACAAACCAUGCCUGAAGCAUUAUUCACAAAAAGUCCAUCCAUUCCAAGCCAAAUACUGUAGUUCACAGAAAAGUCUUCUAGUAUGCAAUUGCACGUGAAUAUACAUAUGAGCAGUACAUGAAUCACUGAGUAAAUAUGGCACUUUUAUGUUUUCCAGGAGGUCAUACAGAAUUAGGAAACAAUCUUCUCUGAGCUGACGCACUUCUAAAAUACUAUAAUAUAGUUUUGGAAAAUACACCUCACAGACUAGAUAGUAAGUAUAGAAAAGUCGGCAGUGCAGCUACCUGAGUUUGUUUCAUUCAGUUUAACAGUGAUCUGAUAUUUUUUCAUUCACCACAAGCCUGAGGGCUGUCUACCCAUGAAAGCCAUGCCACCUGACUCCGACACAGACACAGCCCACGGCUCUCCAAGUGCUGAACUGACCUAGCAUCUCCAAAGUGACCCAUCCGACCGCUCCUGGCACAGAUCCUGGCUGCAGCCCUGGCCCCUUGCUGCUCCUACCCCAGUGUCCAUCGAUCCUUCAGAGGGCUGAGCCUGCAGCAAAUGUGUCCCUUUUUUUUUUUUUUUUUUUUUUUUUUUAAANGUUAUUUUUUAUUAGCUUAAAUUAGCUUGUGAGCAGCAUGUGUUAUCAUGGACUAUGUCUGCCAAACUUGCCUAGAAGAAAGCAAGCGGCUAGAUAAAUAAACAACAGAACAGUUUCAGAGGACAAAGUUCCCAACUUGAAGCAUAAUCAUUAAAGAUAUUAUUGAAUAUUAAAUUAUUUUAAAAAGCAGACAGACCUCCAAGUGCAUGAUUUCUGAUUUAAUUACUAUCUGGGGAGAGGAAAACAGAGCCUUCAUCGCUGUCCUCUGGAGG